RNAcentral lists this ribosomal RNA (253 nucleotides) under uncultured bacterium. RNAcentral's name for it is "partial 16S ribosomal RNA". It matches the Rfam family "Bacterial small subunit ribosomal RNA", at positions 524 to 776 of the family's 1533-position model. The record is from RNAcentral.
UACGGAGGGUGCAAGCGUUAUCCGGAUUCACUGGGUUUAAAGGGUGCGUAGGCGGCUAUAUAAGUCAGUGGUGAAAGCCCGCAGCUCAACUGCGGAACUGCCAUUGAAACUGCAUAGCUUGAAUCUGGUUGAAGUGGGCGGAAUACAUCAUGUAGCGGUGAAAUGCUUAGAUAUGAUGUAGAACACCGAUUGCGAAGGCAGCUCACUAAGCCAACAUUGACACUGAGGCACGAAAGCGUGGGUAGCGAACAGG